AAAAACAUAACUAUAUGAAUUUUUAUAUAGCUAUUUCUGCUCAAUGUUCCCAUAAAUAGCCGCAGUACUGUGACUGUGCAAAGGUAGCAUAAUCAAUUGGCUUAUAAUUGGAGUCUGGAAUGAAAGAAUACUAUGGGGAAAUACUGUGUCGUUUCGGUAUGGGGAAAUUAUUUAUUAGGUGAAAAAACCUAUAAAUAAAAAAUAGACGAGAAGACCCUAGAAAUUUUAAUUAAAAGUUUUUGAUAUCUUUUUGUUGGGGCGACAAAGUAGCACAUAAAACCUACUUUAAAGCAUAUGUAUUAUGUAUAAAGAUUAAAUAAAUUACUCUAGGGAUAACAGCAUAAUAUUUAAAAGUUUGUGACCUCGAUGUUGGACUAGGAAAUUAUAGUUUAGAAGACUACUAUAAAGGCUCUGUUCGAGCUUAAACUCCUACGUGAUCUGA
Molecule: ribosomal RNA, 442 nt
Filed under: Acusta despecta
Lineage: Eukaryota; Metazoa; Mollusca; Gastropoda; Stylommatophora; Camaenidae
Description: partial large subunit ribosomal RNA
Rfam family: Bacterial large subunit ribosomal RNA
Source: RNAcentral